AUCCAUGGCCAAGCUACCCUGAACAAGCCCGAUCCUGUCUGAUCUUGGAAGCUAAGCAGGGUCGGGCCUGGUUAGUACUUGGAUGGGAGACCACCUAGGAAGACCAGGUGCUGUAGGUG
Molecule: ribosomal RNA, 119 nt
Filed under: Pteropus alecto (black flying fox)
Lineage: Eukaryota; Metazoa; Chordata; Mammalia; Chiroptera; Pteropodidae
Source: RNAcentral